GAUGAAGAACGUAGCGAAAUGCGAUAAGUAAUGUGAAUUGCAGAGUUUAGUGAAUCAUCGAAUCUUUGAACGCACAUUGCGCCCCUUGGUAUUCCGAGGGGCAUGCCUGUUCGAGCGUCAUUUCAACCCUCAAGCACAGCUUGGUCUUGGGCUUCGCCGCUAACCCGGCGGGUCUUAAAAUCAGUGGCGGUGCCGUCGGGCCCUGAGCGCAGUAAUCUCUCUCGCUAUAGGGUCCCGGCGGAUGCUGGCCAGUAACCCCCAAUUUUCUAUGGUUGACCUCGGAUCAGGUAGGGAUACCCGCUGAACUUAAGCAUAUCAAUAAGCGGAGGA
Molecule: unclassified non-coding RNA, 330 nt
Filed under: soil metagenome
Description: partial contains 5.8S ribosomal RNA, internal transcribed spacer 2, and large subunit ribosomal RNA
Rfam family: 5.8S ribosomal RNA (bases 1-120)
Source: RNAcentral